RNAcentral lists this ribosomal RNA (588 nucleotides) under Candida albicans. Its description in RNAcentral is "LSU rRNA". It matches the Rfam family "Eukaryotic large subunit ribosomal RNA", at positions 52 to 655 of the family's 3401-position model. Lineage: Eukaryota; Fungi; Ascomycota; Pichiomycetes; Serinales; Debaryomycetaceae. The record is from RNAcentral.
GGAGGAAAAGAAACCACCAGGGAUUGCCUCAGUAGCGGCGAGUGAAGCGGCAAAAGCUCAAAUUUGAAAUCUGGCGUCUUUGGCGUCCGAGUUGUAAUUUGAAGAAGGUAUCUUUGGGCCCGGCUCUUGUCUAUGUUCCUUGGAACAGGACGUCACAGAGGGUGAGAAUCCCGUGCGAUGAGAUGACCCGGGUCUGUGUAAAGUUCCUUCGACGAGUCGAGUUGUUUGGGAAUGCAGCUCUAAGUGGGUGGUAAAUUCCAUCUAAAGCUAAAUAUUGGCGAGAGACCGAUAGCGAACAAGUACAGUGAUGGAAAGAUGAAAAGAACUUUGAAAAGAGAGUGAAAAAGUACGUGAAAUUGUUGAAAGGGAAGGGCUUGAGAUCAGACUUGGUAUUUUGCAUGUUGCUCUCUCGGGGGCGGCCGCUGCGGUUUACCGGGCCAGCAUCGGUUUGGAGCGGCAGGAUAAUGGCGGAGGAAUGUGGCACGGCUUCUGCUGUGUGUUAUAGCCUCUGACGAUACUGCCAGCCUAGACCGAGGACUGCGGUUUUUACCUAGGAUGUUGGCAUAAUGAUCUUAAGUCGCCCGUCUU